UACAGAAUCCCAUUGAUGAUGGGUCACCUGCGACACACAGGGUGUAUUUGACCUCUGAACUUCACAAUGUGUUCAAUUCCUGGGCUUCCAACAGCCGGAUCAGAAGUACCAGUUGUCAUCACACGGGUAAACCUAAACCCAAAAUGUGGUCUUGUUGAAUUAUGGGUUAACAUGGAUGAAGAAAGGAAGCAUGUUUAUGAGCAGAUGAGAGAGGAAAUUCAGAUUCCUAAGAGAAAGUUUUAUGGAUCAGAAGGAGAACCAGGGGAUCUCUGUCUGGUUUGCGUCAGUGACGUCUGGCACAGAGCUCGGAUUGUAUCGAAUCAAGGUGAAACUUGCAGUGUUUUUCUAAUUGACCAGGGAAAGCCUCACAUCACCACAAGUGAAGCUUUAGCUUGGGGUCAGAGUGACUGUUUUCUCCUUCCUCCUGAAACUGAAUCGUGCAUACUUGCAAAUGUCCUCUCCCUUGAGAAUACCUGGCCUGAAAUAGCCAUAAAGUUUUUGGUGUCUCUGCCUGGCAAGAAGUUCAAGGGACUGGUUCAACACGUGCUGAUGCCAAACAGGACCAUCCUCCUCGACAUACCAACUAUUUCCAAGCACAUCUGUAAGACUGGAGUUGCAAAGAAGGUGCCUGUAGAUGAGUUUAAAAGCCUUGUGCAGAAAUGUCUUGAGGGUGAAGGCCCAACACAGGAACAAAAUGUUAGUUGCCAACUUGAGAAGCAUGACCAAUACUUUUACCCAGAACUGUUAACUGAUACUUUUGAAAUUGUCAACGUGACAGAGGUAACUAAUCCAUGUAACAUUUUUUGCAAACUCCACAUUUUUUCCAAAGCAGUGAAGAUUUUAUCAGAACAGAUCCAGCAGCACUACGAAGAGUGCUCAGAUUCAGGAGAGACACAACCUUUGACCUGCGGAGAUCCGUGUGCUGCUAAAGGGAUAAACGGCAGAUGGCAUCGCUCAUUGCUAAAAGAAACCAUGACUAGCGAUGGGGCUAUAGAAGCCUUGCAUGUGGAUGAAGGAAAAAUUGAAUUUGUCCGAGUUGGAGACAUCAGACCUCUGCAUGGAAAAUUUCUGAGAAUGCCAGUUGUGACUUAUCCCUGUUCUCUCGAAGGCGUAAAAGAUAACUGCACAGGUUGGACUAUAGGCCAGAAUGAUGACUUGAAAUCACUGCUCCUGAACCAGAAGUUUGUGGCAAAGUUUAACCACCACAAUAUACCUCAAGAUGUGUAUCAUGUCAGUCUAUAUGCAGAUGACGAAGCAUGCAUAAACAAUUGGUUUACAGAGAAGGCAGGACCUUUUUCAUCCUCCAAGACAGAACGAGAUACAAAUGUCCUAAAUGGAUCCAUUCCCUCAUCAUUCAUCAGUUCACUUGGAAACCAACGUUGCCUAGAUUUACAGAACAAAGUCACUGUAAAUGUUGAUGGUUUACAAGAAGAAACUUUGCCAUGCACAAAGAACCAAGCAGUCAAUGGUAGGACCAAUGGUUUACCCACUUCUGGAGCGGAUGAUACGCCUAUCAAAGACACUUCAGAGCAUCUGGACCCUUUGCUACAGAUCAAUGGGCAUCUUUCAUCAGGUUUCCCCUCUGAGGUGCAAAAUGCUCGUCAUGACGAUAUGUUUACCGUAGGAAGUAGUGUCGAUGUAAAAGUGUCUUUCAUUGAAAGUCCACAGAGGUUCUGGUGUCAACCAAUGCAAAACUGUGACUCUCUUAGACUCCUGAUGCAGGACCUGCAAAACCAAUAUGCAUCCAUCCAUCCUCCGCCACUUGUUGAGUCAAUCUGUGUCGCCCGUAAUCCAGAAAAUCACAUGUGGUAUAGAGCAAGGAUCAUGACAAGUCACUACUCUCCUGUGGUAGAUGUGAGAUUUAUAGACUAUGGUGAAACUCAAACGGUCCCUCUGCAGGGUGUGCGCCCCAUUGAUCCAGCUUUCUUACGGCUGAAUGCGCAGGCUUUCCAGUGUUGCUUGUUCAAUUGCAAGAAUUCCACUAAUCCCACUUCCAUCACUCGGACUGAUAACGCAGAGUUUCAGCAGUUUGUGGAUUCAGGCGCUUCGUCAAACAUUGGGUUGAAAUGCACUGUGAAGGCUGCAACAUCUGAUGACGAAGGUCUGCUGCUUAAUGUGGUCGAUAUUGAAACACCAUCUGAUAGUGCAUGCAAGCUUCUGACUCAGGAAUGUGAACAGGCUCAAGCGCUCUUUCAAAUUCCUCCACAUGACCCAUUAGAUGUAUACAAUUACUCCACGUACAAUAUUGAAGUGGAUGGAAAAGAAGAUGUGUGGAUAACCUAUUCAGAGAAUGUCAAUCAAUUCUACUGCCAACUGGACAGGAAUUUACACUUGUUUUACAAAGUGAUGGAAAAUGUUAAACAACUAAUCAGACAGCCACAGUGCACGGAUUACCCCCUUGGACUUGAUAGCAUUUGCUUUGCUAAGUACACUGAUGAUCAGUGGUACAGAGGUCAAGUGGUAGAAAUGUCUCCAAAAAUGAAAGUGUACUUUGUGGACUAUGGUCAUACCCUUGCAGUGAAUGAAUCUGAUAUUUGUUUCUUUCCCACUGAAGCAAGUGUGGCCAGGUCUGUUCCUGUGCAGGCUGUUCCACUUGGAUUGUUUGAAGUCCCUACAGAAGUGCCAAAGGAAGUCAACGAGUGGUUUGCAGACAGUGCUAUUGGUCAAAUGUUCACCAUUUCAGUGGUAGCAAAAGGGGAAAAAGGGAAGCUGAUUGUUGAACUGUUUGCUGGAGCUUUGAAUUUAAAUGUGAAGGUCAGAGAGAUGAUAUCAAAGAUAACACAACAAGAGACACCUGGUCUCGUUCAGCAGACAGACCAGCAGCUCUCAAACAGUUCAGAACAUGACAAUGUGCCAAAUGAGGACUGUUUAACGCAAGAGCUCAAGAAUGUAUCCAUAUUAACAAUGAUAAAAGAUCUCAAUAAAGUGCACAGCAACAACGGAACAUGUGCAGGGGAUGAUCUGAGUUCAUCGUCCAUAACUAAUGCCUCUGAACAAGAGUUUGCCCAUGACCAGUCUCUGGAUGAAGGAAGAAAACUAUCUUCGGAUCUUAUGGACAAAGAAAUGGAAGGUGGACACGUUGUAAUUACACAACUUUCCCUAGCUUCCUGUCCUGAGGGAAAUGAGAACAUCUGCAUGUACAAGUGGCCAAACAUUGCUCAAAACAGGACUUAUGAGGUAUACGCAUCCUGCAUUGCUGGACCACGUUACUUCUGGUGUCAGUAUGCCAACACUGAAGACCUAAACAUAGUGACGAGGCUUGCUCAGGAAGCAGGACAGACACAUCAGGACAUGAUGUUCCCUGAGACUCUUGGCCCUGGCAGUCCAUGUAUUGCUCUGUUUUCCAGUGAAAAACAGUGGUAUCGAGCUCAAGUUAUUCGCAGAGUUGACGAUGCAUUCUGUGUCCUGUUUAUCGACUAUGGAAACGAGUCUGACGUUGACAUCAACAGUGUGAGAUCACUGCCUCAGAGUCUGCUGGAGAAGGUUCCUCAGGCCUUUUUGUGCUCUUUGAAAGGAUUCGACGAGUCCAAGGGCUCCUGGAAUGACCAAGUUUAUGAUGACUUCUACAAUCUUCUGGUUGAUAAACCUCUCAAGCUGACAGUGUUCAACAUGGACGACGAUUCGGAGGCUGCAGUUCCUCAGUAUGAAGUGGAAAUUGAGUGUGAAGGAGUGAUCGUUGAUGCGGCAAUGCAUAAAUACUGGAAACCAGUUUCAAAAGAACCUAUGCCGAUAGAACACCAUGAAGGGAAAACUUUCCUCCAAGAUACUCAAACUGAGUCCACCAUGCUUCAUCCUAAUGUUCCCAAAGGAAAUGUGAAUUCUUGUAUGUACAAGAAGUCAAACUUGUCCAAAAACAAAAAAGAGGAGGUAUACGCUUCUUGCAUUGUGCAUCCCCAUUACUUCUGGUGUCAGUAUGCCAAUCCAGAGGAGCUCAGCAAAGUGACAAAGCUUGCUCAGGAAGCAGGAAAGACACAACAGGACAUGAUGUUCCCUGAGACUCUUGGUCCUGGCAGUCCAUGCCUUGCUCUGUUCUCCAAUGAUAAACAGUGGUAUCGAGCUCAAGUAAUUCGCAGAGUUGACGAUGCAUUCUGUGUCCUGUUUAUCGACUAUGGAAACGAGUCUGACGUUGACAUCAACAGUGUGAGAUCACUGCCUCAGAGUCUGCUGGAGAAGGUUCCUCAGGCCUUUUUGUGUUCUUUGAAAGGAUUCGACGAGUCCAAGGGCUCCUGGAAUGACCAAGUUUACGAUGACUUCUACAAUCUUCUGGUUGAUAAACCUCUCAAGCUGACAGUGUUCAACAUGGACGACGAUUCAGAGGCUGCAGUUCCUCAGUAUGCAGUGGAAAUUGAGUGUGAGGGAGAAAUUGUUAAUGCAGCAAUGCAUAAAUACUGGAAACCAGUUGCCAAAGGAGGUGUUUCGAUAGAACAUCCUGAAGGGGAAACUUUCCUCCAAGAUAUUCAGACUGAGUCCAACAUGCUUCAUCCUAAUGUUCCCAAAGGAAAUGUGAAUAUAUGUAUGUACAAAAAGCCAAACUUGUCCAAAAACAAAAAAGAGGAGGUAUAUGCUUCUUGUAUUGUGCAUCCCCAUUACUUCUGGUGUCGGUACGCCAAUCCAGAGGAGCUCAGCCAAGUGUCAAAGCUUGCUCAGGAAGCAGGAAAGACACAACAGGACAUGAUGUUCCCUGAGACUCUUGGUCCUGGCAGUCCAUGCCUUGCUCUGUUCUCCAGUGACAAACAGUGGUAUCGAGCACAAGUUAUUCACAGAGUUGACGAUGCAUUCUGUGUCCUGUUUAUCGACUAUGGAAACGAGUCUGACGUUGACCUCAACAGUGUGAGAUCACUGCCUCAGAGUCUGCUGGAGAAGGUUCCUCAGGCCUUUUUGUGUUCUUUGAAAGGAUUCGAUGAGUCCAAUGGCUCCUGGAAUGACAAAGUUUACGAUGACUUCUACAAUCUUCUGGUUGAUAAACCACUCAAGCUGACAGUGUUCAACUUGGACGACCAUUCAGAGGCUGCAGUUCCUCAGUAUGAAGUGGAACUUGAGUGCGAGGGAGCGCUUGUAAAUACACUGAUGGAGAAAUACUGGAAACGACUGAACACAGACCAUUCCUUGGAAGAACAUUUAGGAUCAGUGACCCAGGAUGAUGAGUGUUUGAAUUUAAAGUCGCUGAAUGAAUUGUAGGACUUGUAUUUCUCGUCCAAAUCAUCCUCUGCAAAGAAAAUUCAAGUCAUGAAGCUCUGGAACAAGAUGAAUUUCCAUGGAGACGCCCAGUUGUGACAGAAC
RNA transcript from Anoplopoma fimbria (sablefish), 5280 nucleotides. It is a transcript of the gene named tudor domain-containing 6, with no coding region annotated. The transcript is spliced from 4 exons. Lineage: Eukaryota; Metazoa; Chordata; Actinopteri; Perciformes; Anoplopomatidae. The record is from RefSeq and is a predicted model, not a curated record.